Molecule: ribosomal RNA, 363 nt
Filed under: uncultured bacterium B3-6
Lineage: Bacteria
Description: bacterial SSU rRNA
Rfam family: Bacterial small subunit ribosomal RNA
Source: RNAcentral
AGAGUUUGAUCAUGGCUCAGAACGAACGCUGGCGGCAGGCUUCAUACAUGCAAGUCGAGCGGCAAGGCCCUUUCGGGGGCCCUAGAGCGGCGAACGGGUGAGUAACGGGUGGAUAAUCUGCCCUUCGGUGGGGGAUAACGGCUGGAAACGGCCGCUAAUACCGCAUUCGAUCAUUUGGGCUUUAGGCUCGAGUGAGGAAAGGCGCUGCAAGGCGUCGCCGGNAGGAUGANUCCGCCUCCCAUUAGCUAGUUGGCGGGAUAACAGCCCCCCAAGGCUUCGAUGGGUAGCCGAGCUGAGAGGUUGGCCGGCCACACUGGGACUGAGACACGGCCCAGACACCUACGGGUGGCAGCAGUCGGGAAU